RNAcentral lists this ribosomal RNA (449 nucleotides) under uncultured organism. Its description in RNAcentral is "partial 16S ribosomal RNA". It matches the Rfam family "Bacterial small subunit ribosomal RNA", at positions 330 to 796 of the family's 1533-position model. The record is from RNAcentral.
CGUACACUCCUGCGGGAGGCAGCAGUGGGGAAUAUUGGACAAUGGGCGCAAGCCUGAUCCAGCCAUGCCGCGUGAGUGAUGAAGGCCCUAGGGUUGUAAAGCUCUUUUGUGCGGGAAGAUAAUGACGGUACCGCAAGAAUAAGCCCCGGCUAACUUCGUGCCAGCAGCCGCGGUAAUACGAAGGGGGCUAGCGUUGCUCGGAAUCACUGGGCGUAAAGGGUGCGUAGGCGGGUCUUUAAGUCAGGGGUGAAAUCCUGGAGCUCAACUCCAGAACUGCCUUUGAUACUGAAGAUCUUGAGUUCGGGAGAGGUGAGUGGAACUGCGAGUGUAGAGGUGAAAUUCGUAGAUAUUCGCAAGAACACCAGUGGCGAAGGCGGCUCACUGGCCCGAUACUGACGCUGAGGCACGAAAGCGUGGGGAGCAAACAGGAUUAGAUACCCGGGUAGUCC